Molecule: ribosomal RNA, 443 nt
Filed under: uncultured bacterium
Lineage: Bacteria
Description: partial 16S ribosomal RNA
Rfam family: Bacterial small subunit ribosomal RNA
Source: RNAcentral
CCUACGGGUGGCAGCAGUGGGGAAUAUUGGGCAAUGGAGGAAACUCUGACCCAGCAACGCCGCGUGAAUGAUGAAGGUCUUCGGAUUGUAAAGUUCUUUUCUAAGGGAAGAAGAAAGUGACGGUACCUUAGGGAUAAGCCUCGGCUAACUACGUGCCAGCAGCCGCGGUAAUACGUAGGAGGCGAGCGUUAUCCGGAGUGACUGGGCGUAAAGGGUGCGUAGGUGGUUUGGCAAGUUAGUAGCGUAACUCCAAGGCUCAACCUUGGAACUACUACUAAAACUGUUGGACUUGAGUGCAGGAGGGGCAACCGGAAUUCCUGGUGUAGCGGUGAAAUGCGUAGAUAUUAGGAGGAACACCAGUGGCGAAGGCGGUCAACUGGACAGCAACUGACGCUGAGGCGCGAAAGCGUGGGGAGCAAACAGGAUUAGAUACCCUGGUAGUC